RNAcentral lists this ribosomal RNA (492 nucleotides) under uncultured bacterium. RNAcentral describes it as "partial 16S ribosomal RNA". It matches the Rfam family "Bacterial small subunit ribosomal RNA", at positions 29 to 507 of the family's 1533-position model. The record is from RNAcentral.
AGUGAACGCUGGCGGUAGGCCUAACACAUGCAAGUCGAACGGCAGCACAGUAAGAGCUUGCUCUUACGGGUGGCGAGUGGCGGACGGGUGAGGAAUACAUCGGAAUCUACUUUUUCGUGGGGGAUAACGUAGGGAAACGUACGCUAAUACCGCAUACUACCUACGGGUGAGAGCAGGGGAGCUUCGGACCUUGCGCGAUUGAAUGAGCCGAUGUCGUAUUAGCUAGUUGGCGGGGUAAAGGCCCACCAAGGCGACGAUCCGUAGCUGGUCUGAGAGGAUGAUCAGCCACACUGGAACUGAGACACGGUCCAGACUCCUACGGGAGGCAGCAGUGGGGAAUAUUGGACAAUGGGCGAAAGCCUGACCCAGCAAUGCCGCGUGGGUGAAGAAGGCCUUCGGGUCGUAAAGCCCUUUUAUUAGGAAAGAAAAGAAGCAGGAUAAUCCCCGGCCGUCCUGACGGUACCUAAAGAAUAAGCACCGGCUAACUUCGUG